UGGGGAGCGAACAGGAUUAGAUACCCUGGUAGUCCACGCCGUAAACGGUGGGUACUAGGUGUGGGUUUCCUUCCUUGGGAUCCGUGCCGUAGCUAACGCAUUAAGUACCCCGCCUGGGGAGUACGGCCGCAAGGCUAAAACUCAAAGAAAUUGACGGGGGCCCGCACAAGCGGCGGAGCAUGUGGAUUAAUUCGAUGCAACGCGAAGAACCUUACCUGGGUUUGACAUGCACAGGACGCCGGCAGAGAUGUCGGUUCCCUUGUGGCCUGUGUGCAGGUGGUGCAUGGCUGUCGUCAGCUCGUGUCGUGAGAUGUUGGGUUAAGUCCCGCAACGAGCGCAACCCUUGUCUCAUGUUGCCAGCGGGUAAUGCCGGGGACUCGUGAGAGACUGCCGGGGUCAACUCGGAGGAAGGUGGGGAUGACGUCAAGUCAUCAUGCCCCUUAUGUCCAGGGCUUCACACAUGCUACAAUGGCCGGUACAAAGGGCUGCGAUGCCGUGAGGUGGAGCGAAUCCUUGUUAAAGCCGGUCUCAGUUCGGAUCGGGGUCUGCAACUCGACCCCGUGAAGUCGGAGUCGCUAGUAAUCGCAGAUCAGCAACGCUGCGGUGAAUACGUUCCCGGGCCUUGUACACACCGCCCGUCACGUCAUGAAAGUCGGUAACACCCGAAGCCGGUGGCCUAACCGUAAGGGAG
This 691-nucleotide ribosomal RNA is filed under the name uncultured Actinomycetes bacterium. Its description in RNAcentral is "bacterial SSU rRNA". It matches the Rfam family "Bacterial small subunit ribosomal RNA", at positions 762 to 1449 of the family's 1533-position model. Lineage: Bacteria; Bacillati; Actinomycetota; Actinomycetes. The record is from RNAcentral.